GGGGGCGACUGGUUUCGACACGAUAGCUCUGAGAGAGGAAGCAAGCCGAGGUCUCCUCGCCUCGUUAAACAGGGGUACCGUCAAAUUGAAUUGACAACAACUCUUCUUUUGAGCCUAUGGCUCUCGCUGCUUAAUUUAUAGCGGCGCGUCAACCCGGUGAUUUCCCCGACACCGGUGCGACGUCAUGUUAGGGGAAUGCUCCUGCGCACGUAAUGGCGCAGGCUAAGAUCGAACCGGUUGGGAUGCUGCGAGCGUGUCGCUGCGCGCAAAGCGUCCGAGACUAAACCAGCGACUGAGCUUGGAGAUGCCAAUCAGGGGGCUUUCGUGGACCGGAGUUCGAUUCUCCGCGCCUCCACCA
This 358-nucleotide transfer-messenger RNA is filed under the name Coriobacteriaceae. Its description in RNAcentral is "Collinsella aerofaciens_O Standard tmRNA". It matches the Rfam family "transfer-messenger RNA". Rfam says of the family: Bacterial tmRNA, also known as 10Sa RNA or SsrA, is named for its dual tRNA and mRNA-like properties. Its role is to liberate the mRNA from a stalled ribosome. The record is from RNAcentral. RNAcentral also lists the same sequence under 1 other name. Lineage: Bacteria; Bacillati; Actinomycetota; Coriobacteriia; Coriobacteriales.